RNAcentral lists this long non-coding RNA (295 nucleotides) under Homo sapiens (human). RNAcentral's name for it is "non-protein coding lnc-ZEB2-1:5". The record is from RNAcentral. Lineage: Eukaryota; Metazoa; Chordata; Mammalia; Primates; Hominidae.
UCUCAUGGUAAUCAGCCCCCGGCAUCACCUCCCGGCCGCGGCUGCGCCCGCUCGGAGCGCGGCUCGCGGACCCCGGGGACCGGAAACAGGGCGGCGGGCGGGGAGCAGGCGAGCGAGCCAGGCUCAACUCCGAAUGGAUUGGAUUGCGAGUCUGCACGUGAGAAAACCGUUUGGCUUGGCUUGGACCCCUGCCGCCCCCCACCUCCUCCACACACACCCAGUCCAGGGGUCCCCUUUAUCACCCUUUGCUUGCAACUCCAAAAGAAGUUGCCCACCUCCUGAGUCACAACACAAG